RNAcentral lists this ribosomal RNA (449 nucleotides) under uncultured bacterium. RNAcentral describes it as "partial 16S ribosomal RNA". It matches the Rfam family "Bacterial small subunit ribosomal RNA", at positions 29 to 523 of the family's 1533-position model. The record is from RNAcentral.
AACGAACGCUGGCGGCAUGCCUAACACAUGCAAGUCGAACGAGACCUUCGGGUUUAGUGGCGCACGGGUGCGUAACGCGUGGGAAUCUGCCCUUGGGUUCGGGAUAACAGUUGGAAACGACUGCUAAUACCGGAUGAUGACUUCGGUCCAAAGAUUUAUCGCCCAGGGAUGAGCCCGCGUCGGAUUAGCUAGUUGGUGAGGUAAAGGCUCACCAAGGCGACGAUCCGUAGCUGGUCUGAGAGGAUGAUCAGCCACACUGGGACUGAGACACGGCCCAGACUCCUACGGGAGGCAGCAGUGGGGAAUAUUGGACAAUGGGCGAAAGCCUGAUCCAGCAAUGCCGCGUGAGUGAUGAAGGCCUUAGGGUUGUAAAGCUCUUUUACCCGGGAUGAUAAUGACAGUACCGGGAGAAUAAGCCCCGGCUAACUCCGUGCCAGCAGCCGCCGUAA